RNAcentral lists this ribosomal RNA (465 nucleotides) under Vreelandella stevensii. Its description in RNAcentral is "partial 16S ribosomal RNA". It matches the Rfam family "Bacterial small subunit ribosomal RNA", at positions 338 to 795 of the family's 1533-position model. Lineage: Bacteria; Pseudomonadati; Pseudomonadota; Gammaproteobacteria; Oceanospirillales; Halomonadaceae. The record is from RNAcentral.
CCUACGGGGGGCUGCAGUGGGGAAUAUUGGACAAUGGGGGCAACCCUGAUCCAGCCAUGCCGCGUGUGUGAAGAAGGCCCUCGGGUUGUAAAGCACUUUCAGUGAGGAAGAACGCCUGGUGGUUAAUACCCAUCAGGAAAGACAUCACUCACAGAAGAAGCACCGGCUAACUCCGUGCCAGCAGCCGCGGUAAUACGGAGGGUGCGAGCGUUAAUCGGAAUUACUGGGAGUAAAGCGCGCGUAGGUGGCUUGAUAAGCCGGUUGUGAAAGCCCCGGGCUCAACCUGGGAACGGCAUCCGGAACUGUCAAGCUAGAGUGCAGGAGAGGAAGGUAGAAUUCCCGGUGUAGCGGUGAAAUGCGUAGAGAUCGGGAGGAAUACCAGUGGCGAAGGCGGCCUUCUGGACUGACACUGACACUGAGGUGCGAAAGCGUGGGUAGCAAACAGGAUUAGAUACCCCAGUAGUC